ACUCUCUCUCCCUCUCUCUUCUCUCUCUCAUUCUCCUCUCCAUCCUCUCCCUCUCUCCCUCUCUUCACCCGUUACAACCACCCCCACCUCCCACCACCAACACCUACCACUGCCCUUCAGCCGCCACCACAACUUCCCACCACCAACCUUCAGCCGUCGCAUCCCAUCGCCCACCACCACCACCAACACCCAACCACCACCUCUUAUCACCAUUCUCAAGGCUCUGUUCUUCUUGUCGGCACUACUCCAAUCAGUUUUUGGGAUACUUGCAUUUUCUUUCUAGGGAGCCGGAAGAGACAAGGGAACCAGUUUUCGAUUAGGAGCCUAAGGAAGUUGAUUCGGGGACGUGUAUCCAGAUCUGGGUGCCGUUGAAGGUUAGUGGUCAUGAAUCGGAUACCAGAGGUGGUAAAUUUGGUCAGAACUCAGAAGGAACGUUCACUUAAACAUCCACUAGAUGUAAACAUCCACAAUUUUUGAAAUUGUUGUUGCUUCCCUUUUUA
Molecule: long non-coding RNA, 500 nt
Organism: Helianthus annuus (common sunflower)
Lineage: Eukaryota; Viridiplantae; Streptophyta; Magnoliopsida; Asterales; Asteraceae
Exons: 2
Source: RefSeq, a predicted model, not a curated record